This 465-nucleotide ribosomal RNA is filed under the name uncultured bacterium. Its description in RNAcentral is "partial 16S ribosomal RNA". It matches the Rfam family "Bacterial small subunit ribosomal RNA", at positions 338 to 795 of the family's 1533-position model. The record is from RNAcentral.
CCUACGGGAGGCAGCAGUGGGGAAUUUUGCGCAAUGCUCGUAAGAGUGACGCAGCGACGCCGCGUGAAUGACGAAGGCCUUCGGGUCGUAAAGUUCUUUCGGCAGGGAAGAAAAUGCCUAUAAGUAACUGUGUAUGUAUUGACGGUACCUGUAUAAGCAGCCCCGGCUAACUCCGUGCCAGCAGCCGCGGUAAUACGGAGGGGGCGAGCGUUGUUCGGAGGGACUGGGCGUAAAGAGCACGGAGGCGGGGUUGUAAGUCAUUAGUCAAAGACUAGAGCUCAACUUUAGUAAGGCUAGUGAUACUAUAAUACUAGAGUAUCAGAGAGGAUUGCAGAAUUCCUGGUGUAGCGGUGAAAUGCGUAGAUAUCAGGAGGAAUACCGUUAGCGAAGGCGGCAAUCUGGCUGGAAACUGACGCUGAGGUGCGAAAGCGUGGGUAGCAAACAGGAUUAGAUACCCCUGUAGUC